Molecule: ribosomal RNA, 253 nt
Filed under: uncultured bacterium
Lineage: Bacteria
Description: partial 16S ribosomal RNA
Rfam family: Bacterial small subunit ribosomal RNA
Source: RNAcentral
GACGUAGGGCGCGAGCGUUGCCCGGAUUUAUUGGGCGUAAAGAGCUCGUAGGCGGCUUGUCGCGUCGGCUGUGAAAUCCCGUGGCUCAACUGCGGGUCUGCAGCCGAUACGGGCAGGCUAGAGUUCGGUAGGGGAGACUGGAAUUCCAGGUGUAGCGGUGAAAUGCGUAGAUAUCUGGAGGAACACCAAUAGCGAAGGCAGCUCGCUGGGACGCUACUGACACUGAGGCGCGAAAGCGUGGGGAGCGAACAGG